Hydra vulgaris (swiftwater hydra) is the source of this 960-nucleotide non-coding RNA. Lineage: Eukaryota; Metazoa; Cnidaria; Hydrozoa; Anthoathecata; Hydridae. The record is from RefSeq and is a predicted model, not a curated record.
UAAGAAGACUAUAUAUAGACUGGAUUAAAGCUAUUAAUCAUAAGUAUUGGGACAGUUAGGAAAGUGUAAAAAUUAGUAAAGAACGAGUAUGCAGUGCACAUUUUGUAUCAGGAAAACGUUUUGAUGACACAUCUGACAUUGACUGUAGUCCAUCUGCAUUUAAUCACCUUGGAGCUGCUCUGAUUUCUAGUUUGAUUAAAAAAAGGAAGAGAAAAGAUUACUAUAAAGAUUUGUAAAAAACGAUUUUUUACAUAAUUUUACAAUACUGCCAUCUAGCCAAUCGAAUAAUUUAGAGCUCGAUAACUAUAAUGAUAAUAUGAAUAUUGACAUAAAUCCACCAAAUGACGAGUCAGCUAUUUCUAAAUUUUUUCAGCAUGAUACUUAUAAAGUAAAAAAAAGUUCAAAGUCUGUGUCUGUAUUAUUAAUUGUACCAAAGAAUUUAUUGAAAGACCAAAAAAUUUAAUUUUACGAUCACAAACUUGGUCUAAUUAUAAACAUAACAAUACCAUUAAAUAUCUUAUCGGUAUUUCACCACCUGGGGCAGUUAGUUUUCAAACAGACAAAUAAAAAUUGAGUCAAACUUUUGUCAGAAGCUUAAUCCUGGCAACUUUGUUCUUGCUGACAGAGGAGUCAAGAUCAAAGACAAACUAAAUGCUGUUGGGGCAACGUUGAAAAUUCCAGCAUUUACAAAAGGUAAACAACAAUUAUCUGGAUGGAAAGUGGAAACAUCUAAACAGAUAUCUAAUUUUUGCAUACAUUUGGAAUGAGAGAUUGGUCAAAUAAAAAAGUUUUGCAUUAUUCAUAAGACUGUGCCAAUCACUCGAGUGGAUUUAUUAGAUGAUAUUAUAAUUAUUUUUUAUGCUCUUGUAAAUCUCAAUAUGAGUGUAGUUACUUGAUUAAUGUAAAUGUAAAAACAAAUAUACAGAGAAGCAAUUCUUACAGUUUUAAAAUCUAAUUACA